UACGGAGGGUGCAAGCGUUGUUCGGAAUCACUGGGCGUAAAGCGCGUGUAGGCGGUUCACUAAGUCUGAUGUGAAAGCCCGGGGCUCACCCCCGGAAGGGCAUUGGAAACUGGCGGACUCGAGUCCCGGAGAGGAGAGUGGAAUUCCUGGUGUAGUGGUGAAAUACGUAGAUAUCUGGAGGAACACCGGUGGCGAAGGCGGCGAUCUGGCCCAACACUGACACUGAGACCCG
Molecule: ribosomal RNA, 232 nt
Filed under: uncultured prokaryote
Description: partial 16S ribosomal RNA
Rfam family: Bacterial small subunit ribosomal RNA
Source: RNAcentral